This is a long non-coding RNA of Papaver somniferum (opium poppy), 1761 nucleotides long. RefSeq lists it as uncharacterized. The record is from RefSeq and is a predicted model, not a curated record. NCBI's taxonomy places the organism in Eukaryota, Viridiplantae, Streptophyta, Magnoliopsida, Ranunculales, Papaveraceae. The transcript has 6 exons.
CUAUGUUUUAGUGUUGCUGGUGGUGGUGUUGGUAUUUGAGACUUGGUGUUCUCUAGUGGAGUUGCAGCAACUUCAGGAGGAGGUGGUUCUGUAGGGGGUUGAGUGGAUUCUGAAGCAGGGGUUGAGGGUGAAGAUGAAUCCGAAAAAUCAAAAUCAGAAGUGAAUGAUGAAGAAGAUGAGAGUGGUGGAGACUUUGUUCUUUGAAACCUUUAAGAGUAAUGUUUUAUUAUUUAGUAAUUGUGCAGCUUGAUUCUUAGUUUCUAAAUCAAGAUAAAUGUUGCUUUAUUGGAAAGAACACAGUUAAUGUUUUCACUGAUGCUCCAAAGUUUAUCACCGGAUGAAGUACGCCACUCGCAGUCAGUUGAGAAGACCAGUCUGCGGAAACUCUUAAUGUAACUGAUAACAAAGUUGAGGGGAUAAAUACAGAAGGACAGAUUAGUGCUCCAGAAAAGGAAGCAUAAGCUCAAGGGAAACAGAGAACAACAUAGUGGACUGUUGCUGAGAAAUAUUGUUGGAGCAGAUGUUGCGUUCCCUCAAAACUUAGGAAUUCUCUUAAAUGAUCUGAGUUCCAUGAGUUACGAUUUCUGAGUUCUAGCAGCAGAGUAGAUGAGUUUGUAAUGGUUUUUGAUGAAGUUCUGGUGAUGCUAUACCUAAGAAACCAAAUGAAGAAAACAAGUGUUGCUUCCAUGGCUUGUGUGAGAUGCUUAAGUCUAUGAAGCAGCUGGAGGCUGAAAUCGCACAGCUGAAUCAUGUGGUAACUUAGUGGCAUUUGAUGUUUUGCUUUUCCGGAUCAAAAUUAUCUCAACCAGUUAUUUGAACUUUCAUAUUAUAGGUUCGCCAACGAGAGGAGGACACCCAAUGCACCAAAAUGAUGUUGAAGUUCGGGAGGACAAGAUUCAGAAAAUGGAGUCACUGGUUGUUGGUGGUUUGAUACCUUAUGAUACUUGGUCAUACUUACUUUUUGAGCUUGUCGGUUUCAGGACUUUUAUGAAGAAGGAGAGAUAGAACUGCUAAUGACUGAAGUAUCUGAACUGCGCGAUCAGGCCAUUCUUCAUUUUAAUCUCACAAUUUUAGUAUUCGCUUGCUAAUUUAUUCGGCACUUGGUUGUAUACUAAUUACAACUUUUUUACAGCUACUUUAAAAUGUUACUGUGCCACCACUGAUCAUCUAGUUUAUGUCUUUGCAAACAUCUUAUAUGUAUCAAUUCAUCCAUGUAUUAUACGAUUGGAUCUCUUGAUUAAUCCUUUACCAUGGCACAUGUUUCCACAGAAGGAUGUUGUCAUAGGGCAUAAUUCAAACCAGUUGGAGACAAAUGCAAAACUUACCAGUGAAAUUAUGCCCUAUUCUGCUUGCAGGGGAUUGAUAGCAAGGGGAUAAGUUGUCAAGUCUAGUAAUUCAGCUAAAAAUCAUUUAGUUUUGAUGGUCUGGAUGGCAAUAUGAGCUCCUUUAUGAUGCCUCUUUUAAAAUUUGGGGAGAGAUUUUAAGAUGUCAAUGAUGUGAUCUUGAUAUAGGAUGAUUUAGAGCAUUUCACUGAGAAUAAUAAUUGGGCUAGGUCGAAAAAGAUUAUUCAUAAUAUAGUCUCUGAGUUCAAAAUUCAAGUAGAGGUAGAAAUGUUUGUUCAUUUCAUUUUUCAUACUUUCUCGGAAUCACAGACUUCUGUCUCUUUCUCUUUCUAGGGAGUCUCAGACCAGAAACUUCAAUUUCACUUGGGUUUGUGAGUCCCACUUCUGUCAGUUUUAUUUCUUAUGUUAUCUCUUUUGU